GUUCCUACGGGGGGCAGCAGUGGGGAAUAUUGGGCAAUGGGCGCAAGCCUGACCCAGCAACGCCGCGUGAAGGAAGAAGGCUUUCGGGUUGUAAACUUCUUUUAUCAGGGACGAAGCAAGUGGCGGUACCUGAUGAAUAAGCCACGGCUAACUACGUGCCAGCAGCCGCGGGAAUACGGAGGUGGCAAGCGGUAUCCGGAUUUACUGGGUGGAAAGGGCGUGUAGGCGGGAGCGCAAGGCAGAUGGGAAAACUAUGGGCUCAAACCAUAGCCUGCAUUUGAAACUG
RNAcentral lists this ribosomal RNA (286 nucleotides) under uncultured bacterium. RNAcentral describes it as "partial 16S ribosomal RNA". It matches the Rfam family "Bacterial small subunit ribosomal RNA", at positions 335 to 635 of the family's 1533-position model. The record is from RNAcentral.